UAGGUGGUACAGACUGGACAUAAUUGUUAAGAGGAAGAAAGAAGAGAAGGAAUAGAAUCAAACCAGAGAGACAGGACCCAUACUGGCUUAAAAGGCUAAUUUUGUCAAAGUAUCUUGAAGCUGUAUUUACUUCAGUGUUGAUCCACAAGCACUCUCUCAGCCUCCAGAUAGAGUUGCUGGCUAUGGCUUUGUGAGUAAAAGCAACUGAAAGAGAAAUCCGUUCUGAUUCUAAAUAUGCAUCAAAGUGGCGAGACCCAGACCAUCUUAUCUAUUUAAAUGGAAGAUCGUUUUGAAAGAUUUUGUUUUUAGUUUGAGGCUUAACCUCAAAGAAACAGAAUUAAUAGAAGAAGGAAAUGAUCCUGGGAGAUCCUCAAUGCAGUAAUGAAUUCAACAUUCUUCAAUCAAAUUUAAAAUUUAAUUAUAGCCUACUUACCUGUGGUGACCCUGGAUUCUGUACAACUGAUUUGUUGAUACAGAAGAGAGUCAUGCAAACUACAGAAAUCCACCCAAAACCGAGAGAAGGAGAGUAUCUGUUUUCAGAGGAGCUGUCUGCUUUGGGAGGAAGUUCCAGAAGUGAGCCUCAGGAAUUACAACAUUAAUUGAGAAACUGAAUGAUUAAAAUUGUAGUAACAAAUA
RNAcentral lists this long non-coding RNA (636 nucleotides) under Homo sapiens (human). RNAcentral describes it as "long intergenic non-protein coding RNA 1830". The record is from RNAcentral. Lineage: Eukaryota; Metazoa; Chordata; Mammalia; Primates; Hominidae.